ACCCAACCAAUAAUUGAAUAAUAUAAAUAAAUAAAGUAAGCCUGACACCAAAAACUAAACCAUUCUUUUACCUAAGUACGGGAGACAGAAAAGGUCCCACCAAAGCAAUAGAAACAGUACCGCAAGGGAAAGCUGAAAGAGAAAUGAAACAACCCAUACAAGCACAAAAAAGCAAAGAUUAAAUCUUGUACCUUUUGCAUCAUGAUUUAGCCAGCACACCCAAGCAAAGAGCCCUUCAGUUUGGAACCCCGAAACCAGGUGAGCUACCCCGAGACAGCCUAUUAUAGGGCCAACCCGUCUCUGUGGCAAAAGAGUGGGAAGAACUCCGGGUAGAAGUGACAGACCUACCGAACCUGGUGAUAGCUGGUUGCCUAAGAGAUGAAUAGAAGUUCAGCCUCGUACCCCUUCAACCAAAACACAAACAAGACACUAAAAGAGAUAUACGAGAGUUAGUUGAAGGGGGUACAGCCCCUUUAACAAAGGACACAACCUUUCCAGGAGGAUAAAGAUCAUAAUACACAAAACAUGCCGUUCUAGUGGACCUAAAAGCAGCCAUCUAAACAGAAAGCGUUAAAGCUCAGACAGAAAAAAGUUUAUUAUACCGACAAAAAAUCUUACUCCCCUAAUUACUACUAGGCCAACCCAUGCCCACAUGGAAGAGACUAUGCUAAAAUGAGUAACAAGAAGGCCCGCCCUUCUCCAAGCACAAGUGUAAGCCAAACCGGACCAACCAUUGGCAACCAACGAACUCAACCCCAGAGAGCAAUGCGAACUACAAAAAAAUCAAGAAAGCCCCGCAACUAAACCAUCGUUACCCCCACACUGGUGUGCACUAAAGGAAAGACUAAAAGAAAGGGAAGGAACUCGGCAAACACAGGCCUCGCCUGUUUACCAAAAACAUCGCCUCCUGCAACACAACCAAGUAUAGGAGGUCCAGCCUGCCCGGUGACAAGUUUAACGGCCGCGGUAUCCUGACCGUGCAAAGGUAGCGCAAUCACUUGUCUUUUAAAUAGAGACCCGUAUGAAUGGCUAAACGAGGGCUUAACUGUCUCCCCUUUCAAGUCAGUGAAAUUGAUCUACCCGUGCAGAAGC
RNAcentral lists this ribosomal RNA (1092 nucleotides) under Folifer brevifilis. RNAcentral's name for it is "partial large subunit ribosomal RNA". The stretch from base 170 to 1074 matches the Rfam family "Bacterial large subunit ribosomal RNA", at positions 568 to 2044 of the family's 2925-position model. The record is from RNAcentral. Lineage: Eukaryota; Metazoa; Chordata; Actinopteri; Cypriniformes; Cyprinidae.